AGGAGCAGUGUCCUGCAGUCUCCUCCUCUUUUCUCCUGAGCAUGAGCCUGGUUGUGUCGCACUGUGUUUAAGGUAUGUGGCAUAUAGGUGAGUUUGGGGUACUUUGUACCUUUUUGCACUCAGUAAUUAAAUAGUUCAGACACAGUAGGUCAAUUGGCAUGUGCCACCCCCUGUAUUUGUUGUAGAUUAAAGCUUGUUUUUUUUAGCUUAACUGCUAGGCUUUCAGUUCAUUAUUUUGACUUAAGAAUUAAAUAAAAAUAGGCUGAGUUUUAUUAUACUUCUGAUUUUAGUCGGCACUACCACUCUGCCCUAUCCUCCCCCACAUUGUGAAAAUCUUUCUUGUUUAUUUAAUUUGAAAAAUAAGAGGGAACAUUGCCUUUUUUCACUUAUAAUGUGACUCCUGUCAAUUUUUUUGGGUUGUCCUGUUAUCCUUCCUUUGUUGCAUAAGAGGGAUGUAGCAGCCAGAUGGCAAAACCUCUCCCAGGAGGGAACUGCUGUUUUGGUCCAGGAGGUCCAAGCUUGCAGUGGCCAGAUCUAUGUUCAGGCAACAACAUCAACAACAUCAACCAGGUUGGCCAGAAGUCCUUAGAACCACUGCAUGGUGCAAAAAGCAGAUGAAUGAUGUGAGAAGAAGGGCAAAACAAAAACACUCCCAGCACUAUUGCAACUAUGUCAAAAACAAGUGUCUCACCAAGCGGUGCUGGGGACGUUUUGUCAUCCACACUCCUUUUUCACAAAUAAAGACACUCACAUCGAGUUACAUAUAUUUUAACCCCAUGAGACAAAGGUUGGUUGUGUGCACAGAUCACAACUUAAAAGUCAUUCAUAACGGGGUUAAAAUCAGAACCACCUCUGAGUAAAGGACGCAUCACACUCCUUGGCAUGGCUUUUUCUUCCACUAAUGUUGGCAUGAAAAAUUAACUUUGCUCACACAACUGAAUAUUAAACUAUUGGCAUGUCAGACUAACUCCAGAUUGAAUAAUCACAUACUUGUGGAGACAUUUAAUAAAUGGUUUAUUUUAAAUAAA
Non-coding RNA from Xyrichtys novacula (pearly razorfish), 1028 nucleotides. NCBI's taxonomy places the organism in Eukaryota, Metazoa, Chordata, Actinopteri, Labriformes, Labridae. The record is from the annotation of a GenBank genome assembly.